GUCUACGCCCAUACCACCCUGAACAUGCCCAUUCUCAUCUGAUCUAGGAAGCUAAGCAGGGUCGGGCCUGGUUAGUACUUGGAUGGGAGAUAGGACAGAGAUAAAUGGAGAGAACAGGGGAAGACA
This is a ribosomal RNA of Erinaceus europaeus (western European hedgehog), 126 nucleotides long. The record is from Ensembl. Lineage: Eukaryota; Metazoa; Chordata; Mammalia; Eulipotyphla; Erinaceidae.